Molecule: ribosomal RNA, 234 nt
Filed under: uncultured Candidatus Saccharibacteria bacterium
Lineage: Bacteria; Candidatus Saccharimonadota
Description: partial 16S ribosomal RNA
Rfam family: Bacterial small subunit ribosomal RNA
Source: RNAcentral
UAAGUUGAUAGUGAAAGAGUGUGGCUCAACCACAUAACCAUUAUCAAAACUACAAAGCUAGAGGAUGAGAGAGGUUAUUGGAAUUUCUAGUGUAGGAGUGAAAUCCGUAGAUAUUAGAAGGAACACCGAUGGCGUAGGCAGAUAACUGGCUCAUUCCUGACACUAAGGCACGAAAGCGUGGGAGCGAACGGGAUUAGAUACCCCGGUAGUCCACGCCGUAAACUAUGGGUGCUA